UGGUGAAACCUGAGGUGCAAGACUCCAGGU
RNAcentral lists this non-coding RNA (30 nucleotides) under Homo sapiens (human). Lineage: Eukaryota; Metazoa; Chordata; Mammalia; Primates; Hominidae. The record is from RNAcentral.